RNAcentral lists this unclassified non-coding RNA (19 nucleotides) under Mus musculus (house mouse). Its description in RNAcentral is "oocyte_clustered_small_RNA7617". The record is from RNAcentral. Lineage: Eukaryota; Metazoa; Chordata; Mammalia; Rodentia; Muridae.
AACUCAGGUCAGAAAGCAG